This 331-nucleotide unclassified non-coding RNA is filed under the name fungal sp. RNAcentral describes it as "partial internal transcribed spacer region". The stretch from base 1 to 46 matches the Rfam family "Eukaryotic small subunit ribosomal RNA", at positions 1786 to 1831 of the family's 1831-position model. Lineage: Eukaryota; Fungi. The record is from RNAcentral.
AAGUCGUAACAAGGUUUCCGUAGGUGAACCUGCGGAAGGAUCAUUACUGAAUUAAUCAAAGUGAUUGAUUGUGCUGGCAGAUUUUUUUUGCAAGUGCACGUCAGUUACUUAUUAAUCCAUUACACACCUGUGAACCUUUGACUUUUCUUUUUUUUUUAACUCUCAGCCUCUUAUGUGGCAGCAGGAUUAUGUUCUUUAUUGAACUUUAUCCUUGAGAGAAGGAAAAAAAAAAAAAGUAUUUUAUUCUACACUCUUUAGAAUGUAUGUGAUUAAUUGUAUUGUGCUUUUGCACUAUUAAAUACAACUUUCAACAACGGAUCUCUUGGCUCUC